Molecule: long non-coding RNA, 552 nt
Filed under: Homo sapiens (human)
Lineage: Eukaryota; Metazoa; Chordata; Mammalia; Primates; Hominidae
Description: novel transcript
Source: RNAcentral
AGUUCCUAGAAGCUUUAAUUGAAUGAAAGUUCCUAGUAGAUCUGUACCUACUAAAAACCACACUUCUGAAGCUACGUGGCCACCAGAAGACACAGCUAGUCUGCCAUGUAAAAAAGGAAAGGUGGCGUGUGCCCUGAAGGUGCAGGGGUGAGAGGCAGGGAAAUGGAGACCCCAACAGCCAGCAGCAGUGGCCCUCAUCACAGCCCUCCAGGAGAUAUCAAAGGAGACAACGCCAUUAUUGACGAGAUCACUCCCAAGCGGAUUGGAGAUUGUCCCAAUACUUAGACCUAUAGCAAGGCCUUGGGAGAAAUGGUGGUGCAGCAGGAGAGCAGGAACCUAACCAUUGCCAUCCUAAGGCCCUGCAUUGUGCAGAGCAACGUGGCACCAGCUUUUCCUGGGUUGGGUUGAUAAUCUAAAUGGAUGUAGCUGACUCAUUAUUGCGGUAUGUAUAGGGAUGAAGAAGUAACUGUAAUGUAGUGGAGGAAUAGUAAGAAAAUUCUUAGUGCUGGCUUAGCUUCAUUGAUCCAAAAACAUAAAUGCUACUUUACUAUC